UAGUUUCAUUUACUUCAGACGGCCUGGG
This 28-nucleotide unclassified non-coding RNA is filed under the name Mus musculus (house mouse). Its description in RNAcentral is "oocyte_clustered_small_RNA5051". The record is from RNAcentral. Lineage: Eukaryota; Metazoa; Chordata; Mammalia; Rodentia; Muridae.